This is a long non-coding RNA of Mustela lutreola (European mink), 588 nucleotides long. RefSeq lists it as uncharacterized. The record is from RefSeq and is a predicted model, not a curated record. The transcript is spliced from 2 exons. NCBI's taxonomy places the organism in Eukaryota, Metazoa, Chordata, Mammalia, Carnivora, Mustelidae.
UCCACCCCCUUCUUCUUAGAUCAGGAUGACAAAACUACCUCGUCCUGCCGGGCUGUCUCUGGAAUUUGUCUGCCUGCGUGGAUUCCCAUAGGUAUGAUAACGAAUUUGAUUUCUCCUGUCAAUCUGCCUCGCGUCAGUUUAGUCUACGUCCAGCCAGAAGGGCUUCUGAAGAGGCCACGAAGCAGACUGAAGGACUACGCUAAAUGAGAUUAAAACCACGGAACUCAAACAGGAUGUGCAGAGACUCGAAUAAUGCACAUGCUCUCAUCCAUGGCUAUGAAGUCAAAUUCUAAUGCUGAAUAUAAAUUUUGUCGACAGUAUUUAUUAUUUGGGAUCAUGCUUGCUUCGCCUGGCAUAGAUGAUUGCAUUCUGAGGUACCGUGAAGCAUCCUCAUAGAUAACCCACGUCACCGGACUCGCGGAGAGAGAGGAGCGAGCCUGAGAAGGACAACGGCCUCCGACGGGCCGUGUAGCCACGUGGGCAACAUAAACGACUUUCUUAACAUGUAAAUCUGUUUAAAAGAUAAUUAGCCCCCAAUUUUGACAAAUGUGUCAUAGUACUAUGUUAAUAAAAGGCAUUUGGAACCAA